This 446-nucleotide ribosomal RNA is filed under the name uncultured bacterium. Its description in RNAcentral is "partial 16S ribosomal RNA". It matches the Rfam family "Bacterial small subunit ribosomal RNA", at positions 338 to 795 of the family's 1533-position model. The record is from RNAcentral.
CCUACGGGAGGCUGCAGUCGAGAAUCAUUCACAAUGGGGGAAACCCUGAUGGUGCGACGCCGCGUGGGGGAAUGAAGGUCUUCGGAUUGUAAACCCCUGUCAUGUGGGAGCAAAUUAAAAAGAUAGUACCACAAGAGGAAGAGACGGCUAACUCUGUGCCAGCAGCCGCGGUAAUACAGAGGUCUCAAGCGUUGUUCGGAAUCACUGGGCGUAAAGCGUGCGUAGGCUGUUUCGUAAGUCGUGUGUGAAAGGCGCGGACUCAACCCGCGGACGGCACAUGAUACUGCGAGACUAGAGUAAUGGAGGGGGAACCGGAAUUCUCGGUGUAGCAGUGAAAUGCGUAGAUAUCGAGAGGAACACUCGUGGCGAAGGCGGGUUCCUGGACAUUAACUGACGCUGAGGCACGAAGGCCAGGGGAGCGAAAGGGAUUAGAUACCCCGGUAGUC